CCUUGCCAGCCCGCUCAGAAACUUAAGGAAUUGACGGGGGCCCGCACAAGCGGUGGAGCAUGUGGUUUAAUUCGAUGAUACGCGAGGAACCUUACCUGGGCUCAAAUGUAUGUUGACGUAUUCUGAAAGGGAUACUUCUUCGGACAAUAUACAAGGUGCUGCAUGGUUGUCGUCAGCUCGUGCCGUGAGGUGUCGGGUUAAGUCCCAUAACGAGCGCAACCCCUAUCAUUAGUUGCCAUCAGGUCAAGCUGGGGACUCUAAUGAAACUGCCUACGCAAGUAGUGAGGAAGGUGGGGAUGACGUCAAAUCAGCACGGCCCUUACGUCCAGGGCUACACACGUGCUACAAUGGCCGGCACAACGGGAAGCGACGGCGCGAGUCGUAGCGGAUCCCUCAAAGCCGGUCCCAGUUCGGAUUGCAGUCUGCAACUCGACUGCAUGAAGCCGGAAUCGCUAGUAAUCGUGGAUCAGCCAAGCCGCGGUGAAUACGUUCCCGGGCCUU
This 501-nucleotide ribosomal RNA is filed under the name uncultured Sphingobacteriales bacterium. RNAcentral's name for it is "bacterial SSU rRNA". It matches the Rfam family "Bacterial small subunit ribosomal RNA", at positions 904 to 1382 of the family's 1533-position model. Lineage: Bacteria; Pseudomonadati; Bacteroidota; Sphingobacteriia; Sphingobacteriales. The record is from RNAcentral.